This 397-nucleotide ribosomal RNA is filed under the name uncultured bacterium. RNAcentral's name for it is "partial 16S ribosomal RNA". It matches the Rfam family "Bacterial small subunit ribosomal RNA", at positions 523 to 918 of the family's 1533-position model. The record is from RNAcentral.
AUACGUAGGGGGCGAGCGUUGUCCGGAAUGAUUGGGCGUAAAGGGCGCGUAGGCGGCCCGGUAAGUCUGGAGUGAAAGUCCUGUUUUUAAGAUGGGAAUUGCUUUGGAUACUGUCGGGCUUGAGUGCAGGAGAGGUAAGUGGAAUUCCCAGUGUAGCGGUGAAAUGCGUAGAGAUUGGGAGGAACACCAGUGGCGAAGGCGACUUACUGGACUGUAACUGACGCUGAGGCGCGAAAGUGUGGGGAGCAAACAGGAUUAGAUACCCUGGUAGUCCACACUGCAAACGAUGAAUGCUAGGUGUUGCGGGUAUCGACCCCUGCAGUGCCGGAGUAAACACAAUAAGCAUUCCGCCUGGGGAGUACGGCCGCAAGGUUGAAACUCAAAGGAAUUGACGGGG